Molecule: long non-coding RNA, 3479 nt
Organism: Esox lucius (northern pike)
Lineage: Eukaryota; Metazoa; Chordata; Actinopteri; Esociformes; Esocidae
Exons: 7
Source: RefSeq, a predicted model, not a curated record
GGGGGGGAAGGAAAAGGGAAAAGGAGGGGGGUAACAAGAGAAAAAAGAGACCCUACCAAUAGUAGUGGUUUAUUAUUCGGAAUAAAUUGAUAGAUAAAUUUAAAAGAGGAUCAAAGUUCAAACAGCCAUACGAUCCCAAUAAAAUAAUUCCGUCACCAGUUAGACCAAAGCAGACACCUUUUUUUUAUCCUAUGGGAGACCUCAUAAAACUAAGUGGCGGGAUUAACUGAGUUUUUGUGACCAGUCGGCAUGAUCGUUUCAAUUAGCUACCCCCACGGAUCAAUUUUAAUCUCAAUUUGAGGGAGAACCCACACAGUGCGCUGGAACAUUCAAAAAAAUUCCUUUAAAGGAGUGUCCCAACAAUUCACAAGUAAGUUCUAUAUGUUCAUUACAAAUUUUAAGUGCCGCGUUAGCUAGCUAACUGAGUAUAGCCAGAAUAUACCCAAUUAGAAGCUCCACACGUAAGUAAAAAACAUAUCAACAAGCCAAAGGGAAAAUCCAAUGUUAAAAGGGUGGAUUCCCUUCAUUCCCCGGACCCUCCUCUCCCUGUAAGGUAAGUGUCUGUUUUGUAAUUAAUAUUUUUCAUUUAGUCCCAUAGGAUCAAUAGUAUUUAAAAUUAUAAUCCAGUGUCUUUCUGUCUUAUGUUUCUGUGUUUUAGGCCAUCUCUGGUUGUUUUCUAGGCCACAGAUUGUCAUGUUAUCUAUGGUGUGGGUUUGGAAAUGGGUGUAUAGUACCGUAGCUCCAUCAUUCUUUCCUAUGUGGUAUAAAUUAUGUUUAAGUCUAACACCCAAGGCAUUCUUCAUUUCCCCAAUGUAUAAUUGAAGGCAUUGUUUACACCUAAUACCAUAGACAACAUUGGUUGCUGUGAGGUCCAUUCUUUGCCAUAUGGGUGCUCUCAGGCCUGAGAAGGUGUUCACAAGGCAAAUCAUAUUUAAAAUAUAUUUUGCAUUAUCCUCCCGUUUUGUUUAUUAAUUGGAUUGAGGGUGGAAUGGACCCCUAUUUCCUGCUGGGUCUGUUGGAAAUGAGAUUUGAGGCUGGGGAUAAGCCCCACUCCCAAGGAAGAGAAAGUUGACACAAAAGCUAUAAUUACUCAGUCAGUUUGGAAGACCUCUUCAAUUUCUGUUAUAAUGUCCCUAAAGAAGCGUCUGGAAUAACCCCUAGGUCUCAGAGCUUGUGUAUCUAUGAAUUCUAUCUUGUUGUACAUUGUGUAAUAAGCAGGGGCAAAGUUUUUGCCCAUGGCUCUACCCUGGAUCCGAAGGUAAUAUUUUUUUAUUUAAUUCAAAAUCAUUUAUGGUCAAACUAACCACUAGUAAACCCAGGAUAGCCCUGUCUGGUUGUUUAGGGUCUGGUGAAUUAUGGAAGGCCCUGGAGACUGCCUUUAGGCCCAACGCUGUCUCAAUAUUGGUGUACAAGGAAUUAAUAUCUACUGAGAACAAGAAGGCAUUUAUUGGAUUCAGAACAACAACCGCUGACAAUAGUGGAACCUGAAAGGGGACCGACCAUUUCUCCGGGUCCUUAAGGAUCUUGGGGAGCAAAUAGAAAUAUUUCCUCAGGGCCCAAAAGGUAAGUCAUUUGUUUAUCUGAGAUGAGUGUCAUGUAGCUGUACAAUUAGUUCUUGAAUAAUUUCCUGUCUCUAAUUGAAUAGAAUGAGAUAAUGGAGUACAAUGCUCAGUAUUGAAAUUCAACACUACUGUUGUUUGCUCCUUGGGGUUUAAGGCCGGGUGUCUCUGUAAAGCACAUUGUGACAACUGCUGUUGUAAAAAGGGCUUUAUAAAUACAUUUGAUUGGUUGGUAGGUUUGUUGGUUGAUUGAUUGUUCCAUUUUUUAUUAGCUUCCAUGAUGUAUUGCACUCGAUCCAUAAUAACAAUCUGAGAGCCCUUAACUGCUAGUUUGAUGACGAUGUUAGGGUUGUUACCCAGGCUACCGAUUGCCCUAAAUUGCUCCUUGGAGAGGUUGUUUUGUUGGUGGUCAUGGCCUAAGGUUAUUUAAGGCUUCUAGGUCCCUCUGUAUCAGAACCUGUAUGGGGCCUGAUACAGAGUCUAGGCUCCCACCUCGAGGGGUCUGUGAAAGGUACGUGAGGGAAAUCUGUGACAUAUUUAAAGCGGUCUUACAGGAUAACCAUCCAAUUAUAAACCUUUACAUCCCCAUAGAGCUCACUACGGCCUAGUAAGGCCCCUCUCCAUUUCAGAGAGAAUGGUGGAUUGGUAAUGUUGACUGAUUUUCUUACAAACUCUGACAUUGUACUCUGACAUUGUUCUCCCCUAACAUGUGUAAUUGGUCGAGCCAUCAUUUUGGGAUCUGAGAGGCAGUUCCAACCGACGAAUGAACUGGAUCCCACUUAAAAGCGAAGUUUGCUCAGUUCAUCAAGGGUUAGGUUGGAGUUUUUUGACCACUUCAUCCAGAUGGCGGAGAGAGGCCCCUGGGAAGCUGUCCACCUGUACCUGGGCAUCCAUAAAGGCAGGUUCCCGGCGUGUGGCAAUCGACCCAGUGGGCAGGUUUGUAAAAUUGUUUAAAGGGGACUAUGAUUGGGAUGCACUUAUGUGAUAACUUUUAUUUAAUAUGUAACCCAUCAUCACCUCACGUCCACCCGUUUUAACCAUUGUCCCUUCUGAGGGUUGGUUUGACACUGCCCGAGAACUCCUGGUCUCUGGUCCUGGAGGGGACAUCCAAGAAAUUGCGUUUCUACAGGGGAGUGCAACAUUCGAAAGAAGGCAGUACAGUUCUCCCCUAAUAAUGGAGCCUCAGUUAAUGUGAAAGGGACGUUUCGAUGCGGGAGUCAACGGAACCUAGAGGAUGGAAGACUGUCUAGGAGUGCAUGGAGGCAAUCCCAUCCGGGAAGAAAAUAAAAGCUCAACAUGAACAAGGGGAGGAACAGAAACAUUCCUUUAGAGGGAACCAGAUUUAAAACAAGGGCUAAGGCCAGGGACUAAGAGGGUCUAAGGAACCCUCACACCCCUCUCCUGGAGUGAGGGAUGAGUUCAAGUUAAAUGACUGGUUAGGUAGAAAUUGGGGUUGAUUUAGGUACCUAGGGAAGUGACCGGUUAGGGUUACGGGAGAGGGGGUUAGGCACAGGGAGAAGGUUAAGUUUAGGUUUAGGGGAAAGGUUAAGGUUAGGAUUUAAACUGGGGUAAUGGUUAGACGGCAGACUCCAGGGUAAAUUGGGAUUAACAGUGUAUGAGGAAUUGUGGUUUGUGGGCCCACUGGAUGUGAGACAGCGUUGGGUCUAGAUCUAGGCUUUGUUACUGCCUGAGCAUAUGAAAAGGGCCUAGGGGUCUUAGGCAGUGGUGGAAAUUCCAUUGGGUCCAAGGUCAGAGAUGUCUGCGUUGACGGCCUUUUAGAGGUUUGUAGCAUAGAUCUCAAAGUGUCAGCUGAGGUGUCAGUAAAAUAGACACUGGAUUCAGCCAAGAAAUGUAUUAAUUAUUUUAAUUGGACUCUUAUCUCACCCGGCACAGCCACAAGAGGUCUGGUCACCCCUCUGA